This 492-nucleotide ribosomal RNA is filed under the name uncultured bacterium. RNAcentral's name for it is "partial 16S ribosomal RNA". It matches the Rfam family "Bacterial small subunit ribosomal RNA", at positions 29 to 507 of the family's 1533-position model. The record is from RNAcentral.
AGUGAACGCUGGCGGUAGGCCUAACACAUGCAAGUCGAACGGCAGCACAGUAAGAGCUUGCUCUUACGGGUGGCGAGUGGCGGACGGGUGAGGGAUACAUCGGCAUCUACUUUUUCGUGGGGGAUAACGUAGGGAAACUUACGCUAAUACCGCAUACGACCUACGGGUGAAAGCAUGGGAUCUUCGGACCUUGCGCGAUUGAAUGAGCCGAUGUCGGAUUAGCUAGUUGGCGGGGUAAAGGCCCACCAAGGCGACGAUCCGUAGCUGGUCUGAGAGGAUGACCAGCCACACUGGAACUGAGACACGGUCCAGACUCCUACGGGAGGCAGCAGUGGGGAAUAUUGGACAAUGGGCGCAAGCCUGAUCCAGCCAUACCGCGUGGGUGAAGAAGGCCUUCGGGUUGUAAAGCCCUUUUGUUGGGAAAGAAAAGCAGUAGGUUAAUACCACGCUGUUCUGACGGUACCCAAAGAAUAAGCACCGGCUAACUUCGUG